CACUCCUACGGGAGGCAGCAGUGGGGAAUUUUGGACAAUGGGCGAAAGCCUGAUCCAGCAAUGCCGCGUGAGUGAAGAAGGCCUUCGGGUUGUAAAGCUCUUUUGUCAGGGAAGAAACGGUGAGAGCUAAUAUCUCUUGCUAAUGACGGUACCUGAAGAAUAAGCACCGGCUAACUACGUGCCAGCAGCCGCGGUAAUACGUAGGGUGCAAGCGUUAAUCGGAAUUACUGGGCGUAAAGCGUGCGCAGGCGGUUUUGUAAGUCUGAUGUGAAAUCCCCGGGCUCAACCUGGGAAUUGCAUUGGAGACUGCAAGGCUAGAAUCUGGCAGAGGGGGGUAGAAUUCCACGUGUAGCAGUGAAAUGCGUAGAUAUGUGGAGGAACACCGAUGGCGAAGGCAGCCCCCUGGGUCAAGAUUGACGCUCAUGCACGAAAGCGUGGGGAGCAAACAGGAUUAGAAACCCCGGUAGUCCCAUGAU
Molecule: ribosomal RNA, 476 nt
Filed under: uncultured organism
Description: partial 16S ribosomal RNA
Rfam family: Bacterial small subunit ribosomal RNA
Source: RNAcentral